RNAcentral lists this ribosomal RNA (1438 nucleotides) under metagenome. RNAcentral's name for it is "bacterial LSU rRNA". It matches the Rfam family "Bacterial large subunit ribosomal RNA", at positions 1468 to 2925 of the family's 2925-position model. The record is from RNAcentral.
GGGGACACGUGUGGAGAGCACAAGCCGGAAAUGGAAAAGCCGGUGCAAGCGGGGUAGGAGAUGAAUAGGCAAAUCCGUUCAUCAAUCCGAAGACGUGAUGCGGACCGAAUUAAGAGUAGGGAAGUGUGUGAGCCAUGCGUCAAGAAAAGCCGCUAUUGUUUUACUUAAGCCCGUACCGUAAACCGACACAGGUGGAUGAGGAGAGAAUCCUAAGGCCGACGGGAGAAGCAUUGUUAAGGAACUCGGCAAAAUGACUCCGUAACUUCGGGAGAAGGAGUGCCAGCGAGAGCUGGCCGCAGAGAAUUGGCCCAAGCAACUGUUUAGCAGAAACACAGGUCUAUGCAAAACCGUAAGGUGAAGUAUAUGGGCUGACGCCUGCCCGGUGCUGGAAGGUUAAGAGGAGAGGUUAGCGGUAACGCGAAGCUUUGAAUCUAAGCCCCAGUAAACGGCGGCCGUAACAAUAACGGUCCUAAGGUAGCGAAAUUCCUUGUCGGGUAAGUUCCGACUCGCACGAAAGGCGUAAUGAUUUGGGCACUGUCUCAACAAUGCACCCGGUGAAAUUGAAAUACCAGUGAAGAUGCUGGUUACCUGCGCCAGGACGGAAAGACCCCAUGGAGCUUUACUCCAGCUUGAUACUGGGAUUCGGUAUUGCAUGUACAGGAUAGGUGGGAGGCUAGGAAGUGAUAACGCCAGUUGUCACGGAGCCGCUGUUGGGAUACCACCCUUGCAGUAUCGGAUUUCUAACCAGCGACCAUGAACUGGUCGGGGGACAAUGUCAGGUGGGGAGUUUGACUGGGGCGGUCGCCUCCGAAAGGGUAUCGGAGGCGCUCAAAGGUUCCCUCAGAAUGGACGGAAGCCAUUCGAAGAGUGUAAAGGCAGAAGGGAGCUUGACUGUGACACCGACGGGUGGAGCAGGUACGAAAGUAGGACUUAGUGAUCCGGUGGUAUAAAGUGGGAUUGCCAUCGCUCAACGGAUAAAAGCUACCCUGGGAUAACAGGCUUAUCACUCCCAAGAGUUCACAUCGACGGAGUGGUUUGGCACCUCGAUGUCGGCUCAUCGCAUCCUGGGGCUGAAGUAGGUCCCAAGGGUUGGGCUGUUCGCCCAUUAAAGCGGUACGCGAGCUGGGUUCAGAACGUCGUGAGACAGUUCGGUCCCUAUCCGGCGUGGGCGUAGGAUAUUUGAGAGGAGCUGUCCUUAGUACGAGAGGACCGGGAUGGACUGGCCGCUGGUGUAUCCGUUGCAUACCAAGUGCAUGGCAGAGUAGCCAAGCCGGGACGGGAUAAACGCUGAAGGCAUCUAAGCGUGAAGCCCCCCUCAAGAUGAGAUAUCCCUACGUAAGUAGUAAGACCCCUUGAAGACGACGAGGUAGAUAGGUCAGAGGUGGAAGUACAGUAAUGUAUGGAGCUGACUGAUACUAAUCGGUCGAGGGCAUGACCA